Molecule: ribosomal RNA, 253 nt
Filed under: uncultured bacterium
Lineage: Bacteria
Description: partial 16S ribosomal RNA
Rfam family: Bacterial small subunit ribosomal RNA
Source: RNAcentral
UACGAAGGGUGCAAGCGUUACUCGGAAUUACUGGGCGUAAAGCGUGCGUAGGUGGUUUGUUAAGUCUGCUGUGAAAGCCCCGGGCUCAACCUGGGAAUGGCAGUGGAUACUGGCAAGCUAGAGUGCGGUAGAGGGGUGUGGAAUUCCCGGUGUAGCGGUGAAAUGCGUAGAUAUCUGGAGGAACACCGGUGGCGAAGGCGGCAUCCUGGACCGGUAUUGACGCUGAGGCGCGAAAGCUAGGGGAGCAAACGGG